RNAcentral lists this ribosomal RNA (764 nucleotides) under Microbacterium sp. Its description in RNAcentral is "bacterial SSU rRNA". It matches the Rfam family "Bacterial small subunit ribosomal RNA", at positions 31 to 806 of the family's 1533-position model. The record is from RNAcentral. Lineage: Bacteria; Bacillati; Actinomycetota; Actinomycetes; Micrococcales; Microbacteriaceae.
GAACGCUGGCGGCGUGCUUAACACAUGCAAGUCGAACGGUGAACACGGAGCUUGCUCUGUGGGAUCAGUGGCGAACGGGUGAGUAACACGUGAGCAACCUGCCCCUGACUCUGGGAUAAGCGCUGGAAACGGCGUCUAAUACUGGAUAUGUGACGUGACCGCAUGGUCUGCGUCUGGAAAGAAUUUCGGUUGGGGAUGGGCUCGCGGCCUAUCAGCUUGUUGGUGAGGUAAUGGCUCACCAAGGCGUCGACGGGUAGCCGGCCUGAGAGGGUGACCGGCCACACUGGGACUGAGACACGGCCCAGACUCCUACGGGAGGCAGCAGUGGGGAAUAUUGCACAAUGGGCGCAAGCCUGAUGCAGCAACGCCGCGUGAGGGACGACGGCCUUCGGGUUGUAAACCUCUUUUAGCAGGGAAGAAGCGAAAGUGACGGUACCUGCAGAAAAAGCGCCGGCUAACUACGUGCCAGCAGCCGCGGUAAUACGUAGGGCGCAAGCGUUAUCCGGAAUUAUUGGGCGUAAAGAGCUCGUAGGCGGUUUGUCGCGUCUGCUGUGAAAUCCGGAGGCUCAACCUCCGGCCUGCAGUGGGUACGGGCAGACUAGAGUGCGGUAGGGGAGAUUGGAAUUCCUGGUGUAGCGGUGGAAUGCGCAGAUAUCAGGAGGAACACCGAUGGCGAAGGCAGAUCUCUGGGCCGUAACUGACGCUGAGGAGCGAAAGGGUGGGGAGCAAACAGGCUUAGAUACCCUGGUAGUCCACCCCGUAAA